RNAcentral lists this ribosomal RNA (595 nucleotides) under uncultured bacterium. RNAcentral's name for it is "partial 16S ribosomal RNA". It matches the Rfam family "Bacterial small subunit ribosomal RNA", at positions 355 to 939 of the family's 1533-position model. The record is from RNAcentral.
UGGGGAAUUUUGGACAAUGGGCGCAAGCCUGAUCCAGCCAUGCCGCGUGCGGGAAGAAGGCCUUCGGGUUGUAAACCGCUUUUGUCAGGGAAGAAAUCUUCUGAGUUAAUACCUCGGGAGGAUGACGGUACCUGAAGAAUAAGCACCGGCUAACUACGUGCCAGCAGCCGCGGUAAUACGUAGGGUGCAAGCGUUAAUCGGAAUUACUGGGCGUAAAGCGUGCGCAGGCGGUUUUGUAAGACAGAGGUGAAAUCCCCGGGCUCAACCUGGGAACUGCCUUUGUGACUGCAAGGCUUGAGUGCGGCAGAGGGGGGAUGGAAUUCCGCGUGUAGCAGUGAAAUGCGUAGAUAUGCGGAGGAACACCGAUGGCGAAGGCAAUCCCCUGGGCCUGCACUGACGCUCAUGCACGAAAGCGUGGGGAGCAAACAGGAUUAGAUAGCCCUGGUAGUCCACGCCCUAAACGAUGUCAACUGGUUGUUGGGAAGGUUCCUUCUCAGUAACGUAGCUAACGCGUGAAGUUGACCGCCUGGGGAGUACGGCCGCAACGGUUGGAAACUUAAAAUGGAAUUGACGGGGGUGCAUAAGCAUGUUUCCU